UCGUGGAGUGAUCUGUCAGGUUAAUUCCCUUAACGAACGAGACCCCAGCCUAUUAAAUAGUUUAAUUAAUAAUAAACAGUAAUGUUUAAUGUUUUGAUUUUAAAACUUCUUAGAGGGACACAGGUGAUUAAGCCAAAGGGAAGCUUGGGACUAAUACA
RNAcentral lists this ribosomal RNA (158 nucleotides) under uncultured eukaryote. Its description in RNAcentral is "partial 18S ribosomal RNA". It matches the Rfam family "Eukaryotic small subunit ribosomal RNA", at positions 1299 to 1458 of the family's 1831-position model. The record is from RNAcentral.